CCUGACCUGGUAAAAACUAAAAACACAUCAAUCGGAGAAACAGUUGGAACUUCAGAAUUUGAAUGCUGGGGAACGCAUAAAUAUGGUAAAACUAUAUUACUAGUUUGCAUUUCAUCCUAGACCUGUUUACUCUCCAAGGAAGGAACAUAUUUUUGCAUCAUGAAAUCUUGAAGGAUUUCUUUUUCACGUGCAUAGAACUUGCGAGUUCUUUGAUAGAACAUAGAGAAGGAAAGAGAACAUAGGGAAGGAUUUCUUCUCUUCUUUUUUAUUUUAUUUUAUUUUAUUUUUAUCCUGAAUUAAAAAAAAGUCUUGUUUUUUGUAAAUUAAGGCCCUGUGUGGAGCUUGGAAAGAGCAUUCUUCCAUUUCUUUUCUUCUUUCCAGAUCCAAUAUCCUGCAAAGUGUUGGUGCUGUGAAGGAGGAGAUACUUUGGAUUUCUUCUCCUUUUGGUCCAAAGAGAAAAGAGGGUGCAUAAUUCAUUUAGAUUGUUGGAAAAACAAACUUACCCAUGAUCUGGAGCUGUAGUUCUCUAGCUUCCCCCAUCUCAAAGACCCCAGAAUCCCUCAAAAAUGAUGCCAAGGCCAGAGAGGCAGACAGAAAGAGAGGCAGAGGAAAGCUGGGGAAUGCAAAAGAUGAUGAAACUGAAAAGGAUUUUUCAGCACGGAUGAAACAUGCAAGAAAUGACAGCAACAGGGAAUUCAAGCAAGAAGAUUAUUGUAAGCACGUAUAACUGAUUUUUCGCUUUGAUAAGUAGGCUAAGGCUUUGUGCAUGGGGGGUUGCACAGCAUAUAAAAAGGCAGAAGCACUGAACACAACACUACAAUAGCAUGAUCCAAAGUCCAAACUGGGAGUCCAGCUUUAGUUUCUUGCUUCAUUAGUAUGACUAAUCAAUGUUUCCAACUGGUUUGAAGCACUAACCUACAAAACUCUCUUUGGAAUGGAUGGCUAUUCUAUCAUUAUUGGUGGUCCUGCAAUUAAAAUCCUUGUAAUUGCAUUUUGAUAAUGGGAUAUUAUUGAUGAUCCCCUUCGCCCGUUCGGUUGAUUCUGAUUUUUAAUCUGCUUUGCCUUGA
Molecule: long non-coding RNA, 1067 nt
Organism: Vitis riparia (riverbank grape)
Lineage: Eukaryota; Viridiplantae; Streptophyta; Magnoliopsida; Vitales; Vitaceae
Exons: 2
Source: RefSeq, a predicted model, not a curated record